This is a long non-coding RNA of Misgurnus anguillicaudatus (oriental weatherfish), 924 nucleotides long. RefSeq lists it as uncharacterized. NCBI's taxonomy places the organism in Eukaryota, Metazoa, Chordata, Actinopteri, Cypriniformes, Cobitidae. The record is from RefSeq and is a predicted model, not a curated record.
GCCAGCCAGCAUCGUCUGUGUGGGUGAGAGCGUUCGCGAAUGACUCGGAAUGACCUUGGACACCUUCGCGUUUCCCACUGGCAGGCCACGCCAAUUAAAAUUCCACAGCUGCCUUCAUUGUCGGUGCUAUUUUUAUCUGAGCCAUUGCCACACAUCAGACAGAGUGGUAAAUCUACAACAGAAAACCUCAGCCGCAACUUUCAAAUGGCUCAACUUUCAAAGUCACGCUGCCAAAUUCCCGAGGAGCAAAAACGUGCAAAUUUGACCCAAAAUGCACAAGAAACCACAAAAUGGUGAUUGAAAGUCCUGCAUGAGAAUCUGCUGUCAAGCUUUGGUGAGAAAUCAAUUUUCUGAUCGCUAAUUAUUGAGUGUCAUGCGUAUAUGUAGUUGGAAACAACCACUAGUCUGUCGAAUAACUAGCAAAGCCAAAGAGGUAGCAGAGCUCACUCUGUCAGACAGCUACUCUGCAGCCCUAUGUGUUGGAAUGCAAAAAGUGAUGGCUUAAUGAAUGCAUUAUAGCGUCUUCCUCUCUCACAUGCGUCCAUGUGCACAGGCAAGCAUGCAUGCUAAUGGUCUGCAAAUGAAUAUAGAUUAUGAGGCCACAUCAUGCCAGCGUGGCAAAAGAAGAACAAGAGGUAAACAAAGUGAAACCUACUGAAAUGGCGACACUGUGUUUCUCUCUCUCUCUCUCAGUCUCUUCACACACCGUGGUCUGAAAGUCUGCACCCGUCUUGUUUCUUUAAAACGCUUUUUCUGUCCCUCAACGCACACUGUUUUACUUCCUCUCCUCUGUUCUCUGGAGCUUUCUUUGUCUGAGCUCGGUAUUCCUACAGCACUUGGAGAGAUGGAGGGAGAGAGAGUGUAGGAGCAUGAAACUGCAGCCGCUCUGGAGAGGCAGUAGAAAGAGCGGGAGUGAGAGAGAGA